AGCGAACGCUGGCGGCGUGCUUAACACAUGCAAGUCGAGUGCGUAGCCCUUUGUAGCAAUACAGAGGGUGGGCGCACGGCGCACGGGUGAGUAACACGUGGGUAACCUGCCCUUCGGUGGGGAAUAACCCCGCGAAAGCGGGGCUAAUUCCGCAUAACAUUCCGGGGACACAUGUUCUCGGACUCAAAGGAGUGAUUCGCCGGAGGAGGGGCCCGCGCCCGAUUAGCUU
Molecule: ribosomal RNA, 229 nt
Filed under: uncultured bacterium
Lineage: Bacteria
Description: partial 16S ribosomal RNA
Rfam family: Bacterial small subunit ribosomal RNA
Source: RNAcentral